CUUAACUGAACCUUCGGGGAACGUUAAGGGCGGCGAGCGGCGGACGGGUGAGUAAUGCCUGGGAAUAUGCCCUGAUGUGGGGGAUAACUAUUGGAAACGAUAGCUAAUACCGCAUAAUCUCUUCGGAGCAAAGAGGGGGACCUUCGGGCCUCUCGCGUCAGGAUUAGCCCAGGUGGGAUUAGCUUGUUGGUGAGGUAAUGGCUCACCAAGGCAACGAUCCCUAGCUGGUCUGAGAGGAUGAUCAGCCACACUGGAACUGAGACACGGUCCAGACUCCUACGGGAGGCAGCAGUGGGGAAUAUUGCACAAUGGGGGAAACCCUGAUGCAGCCAUGCCGCGUGUGUGAAGAAGGCCUUCGGGUUGUAAAGCACUUUCAGUAGGGAGGAAGGUAGUGUAGUUAACACCUGCAUUAUUUGACGUUACCUACAGAAGAAGCACCGGCUAACUCCGUGCCAGCAGCCGCGGUAAUACGGAGGGUGCGAGCGUUAAUCGGAAUUACUGGGCGUAAAGCGCAUGCAGGCGGCCUGUUAAGUCAGAUGUGAAAGCCCGGGGCUUAACCUCGGAAUUGCAUUUGAAACUGGCAGGCUAGAGUCUUGUAGAGGGGGGUAGAAUUUCAGGUGUAGCGGUGAAAUGCGUAGAGAUCUGAAGGAAUACCAGUGGCGAAGGCGGCCCCCUGGACAAAGACUGACGCUCAGAUGCGAAAGCGUGGGGAGCAAACAGGAUUAGAUACCCUGGUAGUCCACGCCGUAAACGAUGCUACUUGGAAGGUUGUGGCCUUGAGCCGUGGCUUUCGGAGCUAACGCGUUAAGUAGACCGCCUGGGGAGUACGGUCGCAAGAUUAAAACUCAAAUGAAUUGACGGGGGCCCGCACAAGCGGUGGAGCAUGUGGUUUAAUUCGAUGCAACGCGAAGAACCUUACCUACUCUUGACAUCCUCAGAAGAGACUGGAGACAGUCUUGUGCCUUCGGGAACUGAGAGACAGGUGCUGCAUGGCUGUCGUCAGCUCGUGUUGUGAAAUGUUGGGUUAAGUCCCGCAACGAGCGCAACCCUUAUCCUUGUUUGCCAGCACUUCGGGUGGGAACUCCAGGGAGACUGACCGGUGAUAAACCGGAGGAAGGUGGGGACGAGGUCAAGUCAUCAUGGCCCUUCCGAGUAGGGCUACACACGUGCU
RNAcentral lists this ribosomal RNA (1171 nucleotides) under Photobacterium damselae. RNAcentral describes it as "bacterial SSU rRNA". It matches the Rfam family "Bacterial small subunit ribosomal RNA", at positions 62 to 1226 of the family's 1533-position model. The record is from RNAcentral. Lineage: Bacteria; Pseudomonadati; Pseudomonadota; Gammaproteobacteria; Vibrionales; Vibrionaceae.